RNAcentral lists this long non-coding RNA (843 nucleotides) under Salvia miltiorrhiza (redroot sage). RNAcentral describes it as "long non-coding RNA (SMIL_LNC002131)". The record is from RNAcentral. Lineage: Eukaryota; Viridiplantae; Streptophyta; Magnoliopsida; Lamiales; Lamiaceae.
GUAUGCCUAAGUAUAAAAAUACAUGCUCAAAACUGUAAAUUGUCAUGCCAUCAUAAACAGUACAGCAAGGGAGUUUUUCGCUAAAAGGCCCAAGCUUACUAAGUUCAUUUGUGAUUCUUAAAGUUCGUCUGCAGACUAAGUUCUCUUGUAAUCUAUCAUAUCUGGAACUUUGUGCCGGAGAGGUGGCCACCUCUCACGGUCACUUGACCGGCCAACCCGCUAGAUGACUCACGGUCACUGGUGUACACUAGCCCUGGCAGGAUAGCUAUCAACUGCUCAGGACCCGAAUUCGAUUGCAUCAUUGGCAAAGCCAAAGCAGAUAGAUAUCAUACUAAAAUUUAAACAUUUUAUGGCAAGACAAUACUUGAAAUAACUUUAACUCAGAGAUUUUGUCAUGAAAUAACUUGCUUGAACGUAACAUUUAAACUCAUUUGAUAUAUAUGAAAGUAAUGCCCACCUGAUUAGGCAAUGCCUGUCGUUUAUUCUUAACUCUAAAUCGGUAUAGCAGUGUUACUCCUCACGAUCCACAAAGCCUACAAGAAAUCUAUAAUCUUAAUAGGUCUCCUGAAUCUAAUAUUAAGUUAUAGUGUAGUGCUUAUCAUCCUAUGAUUCACUUAGCCGGGUUUUGAAAAUUUAAUAAAUAAAUAAUUGAAAACUAAAUUCUUGAGUUAAGGACACCAACAAUAUCCAUACUCGAUUUUCUUAAAUAAUUGGAUUUAUAAAUAAAACCAAUUAAAUCAUAAAUACUUUUAUUGCAUGAUGCAAAUGCAUACUUAACAUAUGGUAAGUAAUUACUUAAAAUAUGCACAUAAUAAUAAUAUAAUAUUAUUAUGCAAAUCAUCU